This 580-nucleotide ribosomal RNA is filed under the name Lactiplantibacillus plantarum. RNAcentral's name for it is "bacterial SSU rRNA". It matches the Rfam family "Bacterial small subunit ribosomal RNA", at positions 64 to 630 of the family's 1533-position model. Lineage: Bacteria; Bacillati; Bacillota; Bacilli; Lactobacillales; Lactobacillaceae. The record is from RNAcentral.
GGUGCUUGCAUCAUGAUUUACAUUUGAGUGAGUGGCGAACUGGUGAGUAACACGUGGGAAACCUGCCCAGAAGCGGGGGAUAACACCUGGAAACAGAUGCUAAUACCGCAUAACAACUUGGACCGCAUGGUCCGAGUUUGAAAGAUGGCUUCGGCUAUCACUUUUGGAUGGUCCCGCGGCGUAUUAGCUAGAUGGUGGGGUAACGGCUCACCAUGGCAAUGAUACGUAGCCGACCUGAGAGGGUAAUCGGCCACAUUGGGACUGAGACACGGCCCAAACUCCUACGGGAGGCAGCAGUAGGGAAUCUUCCACAAUGGACGAAAGUCUGAUGGAGCAACGCCGCGUGAGUGAAGAAGGGUUUCGGCUCGUAAAACUCUGUUGUUAAAGAAGAACAUAUCUGAGAGUAACUGUUCAGGUAUUGACGGUAUUUAACCAGAAAGCCACGGCUAACUACGUGCCAGCAGCCGCGGUAAUACGUAGGUGGCAAGCGUUGUCCGGAUUUAUUGGGCGUAAAGCGAGCGCAGGCGGUUUUUUAAGUCUGAUGUGAAAGCCUUCGGCUCAACCGAAGAAGUGCAUCGGA